This is an RNA transcript of Brachypodium distachyon (stiff brome), 2258 nucleotides long. RefSeq lists it as uncharacterized. The transcript has 5 exons. NCBI's taxonomy places the organism in Eukaryota, Viridiplantae, Streptophyta, Magnoliopsida, Poales, Poaceae. The record is from RefSeq and is a predicted model, not a curated record.
CGUCCCUCCACGAAAAUUAUGAUUUGAACUGAAUUCCACUCGUUACGAGCCUAGACGGUUGGUUUCCUUCCCUUUCCUUUCCUUCCUUGUUUGUUCCUUCCACCUCGCCGCCGGCGUCCAUGGCGACGCCGUCGCACGGGCUCCCCUUCGCGCCUCUCCGCGCGCUGCUGAUCGCCCUCCCGCUCCUCUCCCUCCUCCUCCUCCUCCCCCACCACCUCCUCCCUUCGCGCCACACCCCGAGCCCGAGUACUCCGCCCCCCCUUACUCCUUCCCUCGCCGUCCACGCGCCGCUCCGGGCCGCAAUCCAUCGCGCGGCGAAGGCGGGCGGUCCUUCCUCGUCCCCGGCGACGAAGAAGACGACGCUGUCGCACGUGGUGUUCGGGGUGGCCUCGUCCCGCCGCACGCUGCCGCUGCGCCUCCCGCUGCUCCGCCUCUGGCUCCGGCCCCCGGCGCGGGCCUUCCUCUUCCUCGACGGGCCCCCCUCCGCCGCGCAUCCCUCGCCCCUCCCGCCCAACCUCCACCUCCGCGUCUCCCGCGACGCCUCCCGCUUCCCCUACUCCCACCCGCGGGGGCUCCCAUCCGCCGUCCGCGUCGCCCGCAUCGCCAGCGACCUCCUCCUCGACCUCAAGCAAGGGCAAGGGAACUCCCCGCCGCCGAGGUGGCUCGUGCUGGCCGACGACGACACCGCCUUCGUGCUCCCCAACCUCCUCCACACGCUCGCCAAGUACGACUGGCGCGAGCCCUGGUACCUGGGCGCCCGCUCCGAGUCUGCGGCGCAGAACACCUGGCACGGUUUCGCCAUGGCCUACGGCGGCGGCGGCGUCGCCGUCAGCUGGCCCCUCGCGGCCCGCCUCGCCCGCGUCCUCGACUCCUGCCUCCUCAGGUACCCGCACCUCUACGGCAGCGACGCCAGGAUCUACGCCUGCCUCGCCGAGCUCGGCGUCGAGCUCACACACGAGCCAGGCUUCCACCAGAUCGACCUUCAUGGGGAUAUAUCUGGACUCCUAAGGGCACAUCCACUUGCUCCCUUAGUUUCACUUCACCAUCUCGAUCAUGUCUAUCCUCUUUACCCUGGUAUGGAUCGUGCAAAGGCGGUGGAGCAUUUCUUCAGAGCUGCUAAUGCUGAUCCAGCAAGGAUACUUCAACAAACAGUGUGCUAUGACCAGUCAAGAUCACUUACCGCUUCAGUAGCAUGGGGCUACUCGGUUCAGGUUUUCAGAGGCAAUGUACUGCUUCCUGACCUCCUUGCUGUGCAGAAAACUUUUGUGCCAUGGAAAAGGGGUCGCAAUGUUACAGAUGUUUUUAUGUUUAACACCAAGCAUUAUCCAAGGGAUGAGUGCAAAAGAGCCGCUCUUUUCUUCCUAAAAAGUAUUUCUUCCGGUGAAGGAAAGACGGAAAGCAAUUACAGCAGGCAGCUGCCUAGAAAAUGCUUACCACGCUUGAUUCCAUUGAGGAAUCUACACCAAAUAAAAGUGACAUCAGACCUACUGCAUCUGGUUCCUGGGAAGGCUCUAAGGCGGCAUUGCUGUGACAUCAUACCUUCACCUGAAAUUACCAUGGACAUUAACAUCAGGAAAUGCAAAGAUAAUGAAUUGAUCGUGAUGCAUUCAUAGUCGUUCUUGAAUCAUACUGUAUAUCCAUCUAUUGUACAUGUCAUCCACCAGUACUGACAUACUUACACAUAGCAACUUAUGCUUUGUGUAUCAUCGAAUCAAGGCAUCGAGUUUUGCCGUGGAGUGCUGCAUCAGCUAGAAUCUCCUUUUGGACUGGAGAAUGGAGACCGUCGGGAUUGCUUCCUGCUACAUUACAUGCUGACAUUUGGAUUAUGAAAAGCAUAGGGACCAUUUGUGUGGCUACCUCUGCCUGCCGGACAAGGAAUGUGAGACACAAGAAAUUGAAGAAGUUGUUGCUUAGAUGCCCCACAGGAAUUUGCAGGAAACUGUUUCUUGAUUGGAGGGAGAAGAAAGUAGAGAAAGACACAUCAUGACUAGCACAUCCCACAGGAGUUUUAACAUGAGGUUGGACCUCUCAGAAUCCUCCGAAAUGUGAAGAAAAGGAAAGUUUCCUACUUCCAACAAAGGAAGUCUCAACUUUGACUAAAUUUGAAUGCAUCUAUACACUAAGUCAUGUCUACAUACAUCCAAAAUUUGAAAAACUUGAGACAUCUUUUGUUGGACGGAGGGAGUAUAAGAAUCCAUAGGUUCAUUCCUACAACCCAAAGAACCUCGUAGUAAAAUUCCUAUAAAAUUCUUGCAAAA